RNAcentral lists this ribosomal RNA (469 nucleotides) under Afropisidium sterkianum. Its description in RNAcentral is "Pisidium sterkianum partial 16S large subunit ribosomal RNA". It matches the Rfam family "Bacterial large subunit ribosomal RNA", at positions 1849 to 2588 of the family's 2925-position model. The record is from RNAcentral. Lineage: Eukaryota; Metazoa; Mollusca; Bivalvia; Venerida; Sphaeriidae.
AGAGUUGGACCUGCCCGGUGAUUAGUCAAAUCCUGGAGUUAAAUGAUGAGGGGUUUAUUUUAACGGCUGCAAUUAAUAAUUGUGCUAAGGUAGCGUAAUCAUUUGCCCCUUAAUUAGGGGAAGGUAUGAAUGGUUUGACGUGGGAGUGUCUGUCUCCUUUGCAUGAAAAGAAGUUUAUUUUUAAGUGAAAAAGCUUAAAUGUUUAUAAAAGACGAGAAGACCCUAUCGAACUUGAUUUAGGUAUUUAAGUUUUUAAAUGUUGAAAGUUUAGUUGGGGAAACUUAAAGUAAAAGGUAACGUUUUAUUUUAAUCAAAGGAUCCUGCAAUGUGGAUAAAAUGAAAAAGUUACCGUAGGGAUAACAGCGCUUUCUUCUCUGAGAGGACUAAUUAAAGAGAAGGUUGCGACCUCGAUGUUGGAUUAAAAUUUCUCUUUGGGGCAGGGGUUAAAGAAGUAAGACUGUUCGUCUUU